GACGAACGCUGGCGGCGUGCUUAACACAUGCAAGUCGAACGGAAAGGCCCUGCUUGCGUGGGGUGCCCGAGUGGCGAACGGGUGAGUAACACGUGAGUAACCUGCUCUUGACUUUGGGAUAACUUCAGGAAACUGGGGCUAAUACCGGAUAGGAGCUCCUGCUGCAUGGUGGGGGUUGGAAAGUUUCGGCGGUUGGGGAUGGACUCGCGGCUUAUCAGCUUGUUGGUGGGGUAGUGGCUUACCAAGGCUUUGACGGGUAGCCGGCCUGAGAGGGUGACCGGCCACAUUGGGACUGAGAUACGGCCCAGACUCCUACGGGAGGCAGCAGUGGGGAAUAUUGCACAAUGGGCGGAAGCCUGAUGCAGCAGCGCCGCGUGCGGGAUGACGGCCUUCGGGUUGUAAACCGCUUUCGCCUGUGACGAAGCGUGAGUGACGGUAAUGGGUAAAGAAGCACCGGCUAACUACGUG
RNAcentral lists this ribosomal RNA (468 nucleotides) under uncultured bacterium. RNAcentral describes it as "partial 16S ribosomal RNA". It matches the Rfam family "Bacterial small subunit ribosomal RNA", at positions 28 to 507 of the family's 1533-position model. The record is from RNAcentral.